This 537-nucleotide ribosomal RNA is filed under the name Alternaria alternata. RNAcentral describes it as "eukaryotic LSU rRNA". The stretch from base 201 to 354 matches the Rfam family "5.8S ribosomal RNA". The record is from RNAcentral. Lineage: Eukaryota; Fungi; Ascomycota; Dothideomycetes; Pleosporales; Pleosporaceae.
AGGUCUCCGUAGGUGAACCUGCGGAGGGAUCAUUACACAAAUAUGAAGGCGGGCUGGAACCUCUCGGGGUUACAGCCUUGCUGAAUUAUUCACCCUUGUCUUUUGCGUACUUCUUGUUUCCUUGGUGGGUUCGCCCACCACUAGGACAAACAUAAACCUUUUGUAAUUGCAAUCAGCGUCAGUAACAAAUUAAUAAUUACAACUUUCAACAACGGAUCUCUUGGUUCUGGCAUCGAUGAAGAACGCAGCGAAAUGCGAUAAGUAGUGUGAAUUGCAGAAUUCAGUGAAUCAUCGAAUCUUUGAACGCACAUUGCGCCCUUUGGUAUUCCAAAGGGCAUGCCUGUUCGAGCGUCAUUUGUACCCUCAAGCUUUGCUUGGUGUUGGGCGUCUUGUCUCUAGCUUUGCUGGAGACUCGCCUUAAAGUAAUUGGCAGCCGGCCUACUGGUUUCGGAGCGCAGCACAAGUCGCACUCUCUAUCAGCAAAGGUCUAGCAUCCAUUAAGCCUUUUUUUCAACUUUUGACCUCGGAUCAGGUAGG